Molecule: non-coding RNA, 610 nt
Organism: Camellia sinensis
Lineage: Eukaryota; Viridiplantae; Streptophyta; Magnoliopsida; Ericales; Theaceae
Source: RefSeq, a predicted model, not a curated record
UAAAACAAACUACGUUGCUGCUCUUAUGAAAAACAGUGGUAUAAUUUAUGCAAAUGAGAUGAAGGAGUCAAGACUCAAGUCGCUUACUGCAAAUUUACAUCGGAGCUAUGGAAAUUCUCUUAACGCCACAAUUAGAGCUAGUAGAUUUUGAGUAGGUGGGAAAUAACAUCAGGAGACUAGAGGAAAUCAGGAACUUAAGUACAGAGAUUUGAGAAUAUAGUUUACAAACCGAAGGAUAUUGUACACAAAAAAUGAAAGAAAAGUGUGAUGAAUUGGGAAUGUGCCUUGGGUGGUGUGCAUGGAGAGGGAGAUUUGGAAGUGAUUUCCUUUGUGCUCUUCGAUAGUAAUGGGUGGUGGACUGUACCCAUUCCAGAAACUAGGAAUGAACUUCUGGCACACUUCAAUCAAAAGAGUCUGAGGGAAGGAUGUUAAUUUUGCCUUCCAGUUUGAUGCAUCUAUGGAUUUAGCACUUCAGGUUAGAAUGCUUUCUUUGUGGUCUUCAGAUCUGGUGGUUUAAGUAAAUUGACACUUUUGUAAAAAUUGAUCUGGUUUAAGUAAAAUUGUAAAAAUUGAUGUUUAUUUUGAUGUUUAAGUAAAAACCAGGUUUUCA